This is a long non-coding RNA of Melozone crissalis (California towhee), 775 nucleotides long. RefSeq lists it as uncharacterized. NCBI's taxonomy places the organism in Eukaryota, Metazoa, Chordata, Aves, Passeriformes, Passerellidae. The record is from RefSeq and is a predicted model, not a curated record. The transcript has 3 exons.
UUUGCAGAGCAUUUGUUGAAUUUUGAAUUGAACAUUCUCCUGAUUUCACUGGAAUUAAAAGGUAGAACUCAGAGUAUGUUUGGCUCCUGUCACUUAAAGCAGUCAGCAUCAUUAACUGGUAAUCUUGGGACCCCUGGUUUGAACAAGUGCAUGACAAUUCUUAGGAUGCCUGUGCUGAAAGUCUUCUCUUAGUGGACCUUGAUGGGGUUUGGCUUCAUUUGCUCCAGAAUGGAUUGCCCUUGUUGCUGUUGCUGCAGGCUUAUGAUCUGGACCCAGCCCCAGGACUCGAGCAGGACUGAAGGACACAUGGAUGCGGAUUUGCCUCUCCCCGAGGUGCUGCUGGCUGGGUCACUGCCUGCUGGAGGGUGUCUCUAAGACCUGACUUAACCUGAAGCAUGCACUUCCUCAGGAGGUCUGCAGCAGGGCUGGAGGACUGCAAACACUGCAUCCCUUCCGUCCUGGCAGCUGCUGCCACAUGACUGCAGUGCCUGUGCUGUGCUCUCAGCUCCCUCCCCCUGAAAUGUUCCUCCUGGUGGUUUGUAAGGAGCUGCCUUGGAGCAGGCUUUGCUUUUGGUAGCAGUAUCCCUUGUUGCCAUGUCAUUCAUGAAGAUGACUUUAUCCUUGCCUUUAUUCAACUGGGACCAGCUGCUCUACCCACAGGCACCAAAAGUGGCAAAUCUUCCAUAACCUUUUUUAAUUUUCAAUUGAAACUCUACAUCACGUGAACUUCUUGGGGUUUUUUUGAGAGGUAAAGACUUUUCUUUUUUCUUCUUUU